AUUGAACGCUGGCGGCAUGCUUUACACAUGCAAGUCGAACGGUAACAGGUUAAGCUGACGAGUGGCGAACGGGUGAGUAAUGCAUCGGAACGUGCCCGAUCGUGGGGGAUAACGCAGCGAAAGCUGCGCUAAUACCGCAUACGAUCUGAGGAUGAAAGCGGGGGACCGUAACGCCUCGCGCGCUCGGAGCGGCCGAUGUCAGAUUAGGUAGUUGGUGGGGUAAAGGCUCACCAAGCCGACGAUCUGUAGCUGGUCUGAGAGGACGACCAGCCACACUGGGACUGAGACACGGCCCAGACUCCUACGGGAGGCAGCAGUGGGGAAUUUUGGACAAUGGGCGAAAGCCUGAUCCAGCAAUGCCGCGUGCAGGAAGAAGGCCUUCGGGUUGUAAACUGCUUUUGUACGGAGCGAAAAGGCUCUCUCUAAUACAGGGGGCUCAUGACGGUACCGUAAGAAUAAGCACCGGCUAACUCUGUGCCAGCCGCCGCAGUAA
This 493-nucleotide ribosomal RNA is filed under the name uncultured bacterium. RNAcentral's name for it is "partial 16S ribosomal RNA". It matches the Rfam family "Bacterial small subunit ribosomal RNA", at positions 30 to 523 of the family's 1533-position model. The record is from RNAcentral.